This 60-nucleotide transfer RNA is filed under the name Acanthogammarus victorii. Its description in RNAcentral is "tRNA-Asn". The record is from RNAcentral. Lineage: Eukaryota; Metazoa; Arthropoda; Malacostraca; Amphipoda; Acanthogammaridae.
UUGGCUAAAGCCAAAUAAGAGGCUAGUCAUUGUUACUGACUAAACUGGGAAACCCUAGCC